ACAAUAUUUAGACCGUCGGUCUAUCGAGCAAUGUCGCCCGCUUGGUGGAAAGUCUUCUUUUCGUUAA
Molecule: microRNA precursor, 67 nt
Filed under: Bombyx mori (domestic silkworm)
Lineage: Eukaryota; Metazoa; Arthropoda; Insecta; Lepidoptera; Bombycidae
Description: mir-2774 microRNA precursor family
Rfam family: mir-2774 microRNA precursor family
Source: Rfam by way of RNAcentral